Molecule: ribosomal RNA, 1095 nt
Filed under: Achatinella fulgens
Lineage: Eukaryota; Metazoa; Mollusca; Gastropoda; Stylommatophora; Achatinellidae
Description: 16S ribosomal RNA
Source: RNAcentral
UUAUUUUGAUUUUAUUUUAAAUGAAAAAAAUUUAAUUAAAUUAAAUUUUAGUCAAAAUAUUGUAAUUUUAAGGUUACCUUUUGCAUAAUGGUUAAAUUAAUAUUAAAUAGAAAAAUUUUAUAAACCCGAAAAAAAAUGAUCUAUAGUAAAAAUAAAUUUUUGAUUUUGGAAAAAAAGGUUGUAAUAUAAAUCUUGUAAAAAUUUUACUAUUGGAGUGAAAGGCUUUCAAAUUUUUUAAUAUCUGGAUUUAAAGGAAAUGUAUUUAGUACAAAAAUAUGAUAUAAGUAGAUAGUGAUAAGAUUAUUUAUUUUAAGGAGAGAAAUUUUUAUCUAAAAAAUUUACAUUAUAUAAUAAAUUUAAGUUUUUGAAUUAUAAUAAAAAAUUUUUGUAAAAAUUUUCCUUAUUUAAUACUUUUAAUUUUUAAUAAAUAAAAUUUUUAAAAAUAAUUAUGUUUAAAUAAGUAUAAAAAUUUUUAUUUUAAAAACUUAUAAGGAACUCGGCAAAGAUCUAUUUUUAACUGUUUAACAAAAACAUAGCUUAUUGAGUUUAUAAAUAAUAAGUUAUUUCUGCCCUGUGAUUUUAAAUAAUUUAACGGCCGCAGUACUUUGACUGUGCUAAGGUAGCAAAAUAAAUAGGCUUUUAAUUGAAGUCGAGAAUAAAGGAAAAAUUAAAAAUAAACUGUCUUAAAGGUUUUUUUUAAAAAUUACUAAUAUGGUGAAAAUUCCAUAAUAAAAUUUUAAUAGACGAGAAGACCCUAUGAAUUAUAAUAAAAAAAUUUUUUAAAAAUUUUAAAUUUUUGUUGGGGCAACAUGAAUUUUAAAAAAAUUUUUAAAAAUAAAAUUUUACAUUUGAAGUUAAUAUUAUAAAUGAAUUUAAUUACCUUAGGGAUAACAGCAUAAUUAUUAUUUUAAUAGAUUAUGACCUCGAUGUUGGAUUAAGAAAUAAUAUAAUUAACAAUUAUAUUAUAAAGUUCUGUUCGAACAAGAAUUUUCUUACAUGAUCUGAGUUCAGACCGGCGUAAGCCAGGUCAGUUUCUAUCUUUUAAUAAUGUUUUUAUUAGUACGAAAGGACCAUAAUGACAAAAUUAAAAGUUUU